AUUGAACGCUAACGGCGUGCUUAACACAUGCAAGUCGAGCGGCAGCAUGACUGUAGCAAUACAGUUGAUGGCGAGCGGCGGACGGGUGAGUAAUGCAUAGGAAUCUGCCUUGUAGUGGGGGAUAACCCGGGGAAACUCGGGCUAAUACCGCAUAAUCUCUACGGAGCAAAGUGGGGGAGCUUCGGGCCCUACGCUAAAAGAUGAGCCUAUGUUGGAUUAGCUAGUUGGUAGGGUAAAGGCCUACCAAGGCAACGAUCCAUAGCUGGUCUGAGAGGAUGAGCAGCGACACUGGGACUGAGACACGGCCCAGACUCCUACGGGAGGCAGCAGUGGGGAAUAUUGGACAAUGGGCGAAAGCCUGAUCCAACAACGCCGUGUGUGUGAAGAAGGCCUUCGGGUUGUAAAGAACUUUUAGUGGGGAAGAAAAGUUCAUGGCUAAUAUCCAUGAAUGCUGACGUUACCCACAGAAAAAGCACUGGCUAACUCCGUGCCAGCCGCCGCCGUAA
RNAcentral lists this ribosomal RNA (506 nucleotides) under uncultured bacterium. RNAcentral's name for it is "partial 16S ribosomal RNA". It matches the Rfam family "Bacterial small subunit ribosomal RNA", at positions 30 to 523 of the family's 1533-position model. The record is from RNAcentral.